CGUACCUACGGGGGGCAGCAGUGGGGAAUAUUGGGCAAUGGGCGCAAGCCUGACCCAGCAACGCCGCGUGAAGGAAGAAGGCCCUCGGGUUGUAAACUUCUUUUAUUCGGGACGAAACAAAUGACGGUACCGAAUGAAUAAGCCACGGCUAACUACGUGCCAGCAGCCGCGGUAAUACGUAGGUGGCAAGCGUUAUACGGAUUUACUGGGUGUAAAGGGCGUGUAGGCGGGAGAGGAAGUCAGCCGUGAAAUUCCAGGGCUCAAACCUGGCACUGCGUCUGAAAC
RNAcentral lists this ribosomal RNA (285 nucleotides) under uncultured bacterium. RNAcentral describes it as "partial 16S ribosomal RNA". It matches the Rfam family "Bacterial small subunit ribosomal RNA", at positions 334 to 633 of the family's 1533-position model. The record is from RNAcentral.